RNAcentral lists this ribosomal RNA (142 nucleotides) under Planctomycetota bacterium. RNAcentral's name for it is "Planctomycetes bacterium partial 23S ribosomal RNA". It matches the Rfam family "Bacterial large subunit ribosomal RNA", at positions 1 to 142 of the family's 2925-position model. The record is from RNAcentral. Lineage: Bacteria; Pseudomonadati; Planctomycetota.
GUGGUCAAGCUAUUAAGGGCACAUGGGGGAUGUCUUGGCGUUAGGAGGCUUUGAAGGGCGCGGAAGACUGCGAUAAGCCUGGGGGAACCGUCAAACAGGUGAUGAUCCCGGGAUUCCUGAACAGACAUGAACUGAAUUCAUA